CCACGGUGGCAGCAGUGGGGAAUAUUGGACAAUGGGCGAAAGCCUGAUCCAGCCAUGCCGCGUGUGUGAAGAAGGCCUUCGGGUUGUAAAGCACUUUCAGUGGGGAAGAAAGCCUUGGGGCUAAUACCCUCGAGGAAGGACAUCACCCACAGAAGAAGCACCGGCUAACUCCGUGCCAGCAGCCGCGGUAAUACGGAGGGUGCGAGCGUUAAUCGGAAUUACUGGGCGUAAAGCGCGCGUAGGCGGUCUGAUAAGCCGGUUGUGAAAGCCCCGGGCUCAACCUGGGAACGGCAUCCGGAACUGUCAGGCUAGAGUGCAGGAGAGGAAGGUAGAAUUCCCGGUGUAGCGGUGAAAUGCGUAGAGAUCGGGAGGAAUACCAGUGGCGAAGGCGGCCUUCUGGACUGACACUGACGCUGAGGUGCGAAAGCGUGGGUAGCAAACAGGAUUAGAUACCCCAGUAGU
This 462-nucleotide ribosomal RNA is filed under the name Vreelandella stevensii. Its description in RNAcentral is "partial 16S ribosomal RNA". It matches the Rfam family "Bacterial small subunit ribosomal RNA", at positions 339 to 794 of the family's 1533-position model. Lineage: Bacteria; Pseudomonadati; Pseudomonadota; Gammaproteobacteria; Oceanospirillales; Halomonadaceae. The record is from RNAcentral.